Molecule: ribosomal RNA, 256 nt
Filed under: uncultured Gardnerella sp.
Lineage: Bacteria; Bacillati; Actinomycetota; Actinomycetes; Bifidobacteriales; Bifidobacteriaceae
Description: partial 16S ribosomal RNA
Rfam family: Bacterial small subunit ribosomal RNA
Source: RNAcentral
CGAACGGGUGAGUAAUGCGUGACCAACCUGCCCCAUGCUCCAGAAUAGCUCUUGGAAACGGGUGGUAAUGCUGGAUGCUCCAACUUGACGCAUGUCUUGUUGGGAAAGUGUUUAGUGGCAUGGGAUGGGGUCGCGUCCUAUCAGCUUGUAGGCGGGGUAAUGGCCCACCUAGGCUUCGAUCAGUAGGGGUUCUGAGAGGAAGGUCCCCCACAUUGGAACUGAGACACGGUCCAAACUCCUACGGGAGGCAGCAGGC